This 21-nucleotide non-coding RNA is filed under the name Caenorhabditis elegans. Lineage: Eukaryota; Metazoa; Nematoda; Chromadorea; Rhabditida; Rhabditidae. The record is from RNAcentral.
UAAUAUUUCAGCUCACCCAGU